GAUCCUGGCUCAGGAUGAACGCUAGCUACAGGCUUAACACAUGCAAGUCGAGGGGCAGCAUGAUCGAAGCUUGCUUCAAUUGAUGGCGACCGGCGCACGGGUGAGUAACACGUAUCCAACCUCCCGUACACUCAGGGAUAGCCUUUCGAAAGAAAGAUUAAUACCUGAUGGUAUCUUAAGCACACAUGUAAUUAAGAUUAAAGAUUUAUCGGUGUAUGAUGGGGAUGCG
Molecule: ribosomal RNA, 229 nt
Filed under: uncultured bacterium
Lineage: Bacteria
Description: partial 16S ribosomal RNA
Rfam family: Bacterial small subunit ribosomal RNA
Source: RNAcentral